AAGAACACCAAAGAGAAGAUCUCUGUGACCUGGGGUUAGGCGAAGAUUUCUUAGAAAUGGCAACAAAACAUGGCCUAUAGUGGAAAAAAUGGAUGAACUAGACUUCAUCAAAACGUUCGAAACUCUGCUCUCAGAAGACACCGUUAAGGGAAUGAGAAGACAAGCCACAGACUAGGAGACAUGCCUGAGAAAGGACUUGUCUCUGAGAUACACAAAGGAACCUUAAAACUCAGCAGUAAGAAAAAAAAUCCAUGUGAAAAGACGGGCAGAAUAUUUGAAGCAGACACCACCAGAGAAGACACGUGCAUGCAGACAAGCACACGGAGAGGGGUCCGCGUGGGCCCCAUCAGGGAAGUACAGACAAGCACACGGAGAGGGGUCCGCGUGGGCGCCGUCAGGGAAGUACCGACAAGCACACAGAGAGGGGGCCGUGUGGGCGCCGUCAGGGAAGUACCGACAAGCACACGGAGAGGGGUCCGCGUGGGCGCCGUCAGGGAAGUACCGACAAGCACACAGAGAGGGGGCCGUGUGGGCGCCGUCAGGGAAGUGCGGACAAGCACACUGGAGAGGGGUCCGCGUGGGCCUCGUCAGGGAAGUACCGACAAGCACACAGAGAGGGGGCCGCGUGGGCGCCGUCAGGGAAGUGCGGACAAGCACACGGAGAGGGGGCCGCGUGGGCGCCGUCAGGGAAGUGCAGAUGGAAACCACAGCGAGGCCCCUGCACACUCUCCAGGGGGCUCAGACAAUCAAAUAAACUGCCGGCACCUCGAGCUGAGCAGGCCGCGGGGUGGGGGCCUCGUCCACACCCGGCCGAGCAACGCGGCAGAGCCACUGUGGACAGCUUCUCAUCACAGCCAAAGGUGGCCCAGCAGUCCCGUUCCUGGGUCCUUGCUCAAGAGAAAUGAAAACAGAGGCUCACACAUAAA
This 926-nucleotide long non-coding RNA is filed under the name Homo sapiens (human). Its description in RNAcentral is "non-protein coding lnc-CEP72-1:1". Lineage: Eukaryota; Metazoa; Chordata; Mammalia; Primates; Hominidae. The record is from RNAcentral.